RNAcentral lists this ribosomal RNA (244 nucleotides) under uncultured bacterium. RNAcentral describes it as "partial 16S ribosomal RNA". It matches the Rfam family "Bacterial small subunit ribosomal RNA", at positions 533 to 776 of the family's 1533-position model. The record is from RNAcentral.
GGCAAGCGUUGUCCGGAUUUCUUGGGCGUAAAGAGCGUGUAGGCGGUUAGGUGGGUCCGUUUUGAAAACUCGAGGCUCAACCUCGAGACGCCGAUGGAAACCAUCUGACUAGAGUCCGGAAGAGGAGAGUGGAAUUCCUGGUGUAGCGGUGAAAUGCGCAGAUAUCAGGAAGAACACCCGUGGCGAAGGCGGCUCUCUAGUACGGUACUGACGCUGAGACGCGAAAGCGUGGGGAGCGAACAGG